GAAAGCAAAAGAAUCUCAGACGAACUGCUGCUGCACGUGAACAAAUCAGUCCCAGACAGUGCCAUGAGAGGUUGUGAGCCAGGUGAUAUGGUGAAAAAAUGCCUGCUGGUGUAAUAUUGAUGAGUGAAAUAAUGGAAAUGGGCACUACAGAUAAACCACAGUGCCACAAAAAUGCACAGAAACUGCAAAUGGAAAGCUGCUGAGAUGCUGAUCUGGAGAUUUAUAAAGCUCUUCCUGGGCACAACAUGCUAGUUACCUUCCAGCUGAGCACGAGCCGCCAGCCCUUCAGAACCUAGCAGGGAAUAAAUAGGCAUUUGCAACGUGAAAUACGGUAUCUAUCAUGUAAGUAAAAGCCCAUAUAAACUUAUUGCAUCAUUACCACGUGCAAGUAGCUACAACCAGGAGCACCGUGUCUCCUGCCUCGGCUGAUGCUGAAGUUUCAAAACACUGGAGCCUGGGUAAUAUUUUUAACGAGACGGAAUGACAGUUUUAAUAAUUCCCAGGUCCCAAACACGUAUGAAACGAGCCCUUGAUGAGAAAGGUCUGAUUACAAAUAACCUGCAGAGAGAUGAAAGUUCGCUUUUAAUAUCUGUUUUUUUAAGUCUGAUUUAGACUUUCAAGAGGCUUCAAAAGAAGGCAAAGACUAGAAAACAGUUUGAUUUUAUACUGUUAGAUGUGUGAAAUAAAAUGCUGGACAAUAAGAGAUGUAAAACAGGCAACAAGUGCAAAUGACUUAAAUCAAAUUAAAGAGCUAAUUGAAAAUAAUGGAAUUAAAACCUUUCUUGCUUGUUUUUAUUCAUCUGUUUUUCAUCACUGUUUGCAAUAGCACUUUUUUAAUCUUUUUUUUUACUUUGAAGAACAAACUUUCUCGGCCAUGAAAGUCAAUGAUUUUAAUCGGUAUCUGAAAUGUCAUUCUAUGGGGAUGUAGAUGCUAAAUGCCAGUCAGGAAGAGAAGCACCACCAACAUUGACCAGCAGGACAGCCAGAGCUCUGCACGGCCUUUGUCUGUAGAGCUUUCCCAUACAACAUCAUGAUACUGAGUUACUUUAUGUCCCAUUAUAGUGGUCCUCUCCAACGCACUUUUGCUUUAAUUCUCUGUACUCUCUAAAAGUAAUAGCCUUUUCUCUAUUGUAGCAUACACGCUCUUACACCUUCACCUCUGCAAACCUCUGCCUCUGGUGAGUAACCACAAGGUAAGAGCAAGCUGAAAUCCCAAAUCUGUUCAGCUUGAGAAGAGUUUUUGCUCAGAUCACCCCAUAUGGAGUUACAAUAUUGAUUUUUAUUUCAAAAAAGGACUUGUGUGUUUAAACUGAAGAGAAAUGAGUGUCACAUUAGACUACGUCUGUGUUUUUCUUCUCAUAAUAGUAAAGGAGUGAUUCCUCAGCAGUGGGAUUGGUGCGAAGGCAAAUUUCCCUGUGCUAUAGGGACACACUCCUUUGUGUUCCCACUGCAGUGCCACUGUUGCGUGGGAGAGCAGGCAUCCCAGCAGGAGUGCAACUAUCCUAUGAUUCUUCCCUGUUUCACUUUUCUGACCCUCUGCAGUGCCAUUGUCCUGCCAGGUUGACACCUCUUUGCUCUUCUGUCUCUGCUCCAGAGCCCGGCACAUCUCCUCUGCGUUCCCUCAGCCGCUUUCAAUCUCCAGGGCAGGAACCUCUUUGCAAACACGUAUUCAUCCAAAGCGUCUCUGAAGGCCAGAAGUCUUGGAGUGCUUGGGAAAAUGCUUCGACAGUAGGAAAAAAAGGUGAUCAGGCACUGGCAGAGGCUGUCCAGGAAGGUGGUUGAGUCACCAUCCCGAGAGAUAUUUAAAAGGUAGCACUGAUGGCAUACGGCACCGCCGUGCUUAUCACAGCCGCUGCACAUUCCCCUCACCACCAGCAUGCAGGAGAGAUGGCAAAAACCGAGCUUGAAGGGACUCUAAAUUUCUGGAAUGCUUCCGAUUUACCUGGUGUGGUGGUGGAAGGUUCAGAGUCAGAAGGGAUUUCUGGAGAACCACUUUCAGGUGAAGAAAGGCACAAGACCUGCUCCUGCUGAGGCUGUUCCCGGUCUCUCCAUCCCGAAGGCACCUCCCCAUCACUACUGAGCCCACAGGAAAGCGAUAGCCGAAUUCCCACUGCUUCAGUGUCUUCCUUGCCUCCAGAUCCAUCCAUGGUUUUCCAUAGCAUUUCUGGAUAAAAAUAAUUAAAUUCAGCAAAUAAAAUCCCAGACCCAUGGCAGCGUGGCCGUCAGGAGGAAACCAGCUGUACCCGCUUGAACUCGGUCAGCCUCCGCGCAGUGCUGCAGAACCAAUGCAUUACCUCAGAAGGGGCACCAGAACGAAAGCCUGGAGCUGCUGCCAACCCUGGAGCUGAAACGCCGCUCAAUUAAGAGUGAUGGUAUUGCUGCAAAGGAAAGAAAAAUCUUCUCUCCAAAAUGACUGCAAAGAGCAGGUCUCUGCAAUUCCUUCUUUAACACUGAAGGGAGUUCAACCUGUGUUAUUUGCGCGGCGUUUCUGAAUGGUUUGGUCAACAUCUUCUCCCAUGGACUGUUUUUUAAAUAGAAAAGUAUGGAAGAUUUCUAAGAACGUCUAAAAAGGAAAACCAGUUUUGUUCUGUGACUCUACAAAAAUCUCUCUGAGGACUGGUAAUAUAUUUUGCCAGGGCAAUGUUCCUAUUCCAGGGGUGGUUUUUCUCUUCUCAGCAUUUGUUGCUUUUCUUUUAAUGUAAGCCACACAGGGAAAUAUUGGCAAAUGGAGAAGGAAAAUAUAAUUAACCCUGUGUUUUUCAGACAAUUGCCCUUUGGGCCACUUUGUUUUUAUUUUUUCUAACUUUAUGAAGCCAUCAUUAAUCUAGUCAGCCAAGGUCAGACGAGACUUUUUUCUUCUUUGCAGACCCUAAAGCUUAUAAAGCUUCAAUCUACCCUUCCAUAACCAAAUGUUUAGUACCUACCGCUUGGGUUAAUUAGAGUGCAUUUGUUACUGCUCUGAUAAUAAUCACUACUACGCCAUCAUUGGCAGUGGCUCGAGGCUAUUUUUUCAUUUGUUAUUUCUUUUUAACAGCAAGCAUUUAUGCAGUCACAGUACCUAAACCGCUGGUUCUCUUGGGUUCAGCCAAGGGUCCAUGCAAUGGAAUGAUACAUGGAAAUAUCAAGUUCCAGAGAAUAAGAGCAUCACCCAUGCUCGUGACAGUUCCCAAACCAAAUGCAGCACAGCAUCGUGGAUAUACCUCAAAAACAGCGCUUCCCCAGGCAGCGUUUGCUCAGGACGAGGAACUUCGGAAGGUGCUGACUCAGCGGGCUGAGGGCGGGGAUGCCCGGUGGAGGACUACGUGAUAGGGAGCAUGGGAAUCUUUGUUAGUUUUCUUCCUUUCCAUAGGGAUGUAAAGCCUUAGCUCCUCCCUUCUCCAUUGCAUUGUGUGCGCUGGCUGCAAGGGUGAGUGAUCCCUGAGUGCCGGUGGUGCUCGAUUGAUGUAGGGAGCCUUGGAGAACAGCUCAGAUGGAGAUACUUGUACUUCAAGACUUCUACGUGGUGUUAUCUGAGUCCACCGAGGCAGCAGAAUUGUGUCUAACAAAGGUGAAAACACCACCUCUCCAGAUAAGACAGAUUUUUCUGAACAAAAAGAACAAGUGGGAAGUUUAGCGAGUCCGGCUGGGUCGAAGCCAGCAAUCCCCAAGGGGCUGUUACACACCUAGCUGGAAUGAGUUUUCCUUAAGUUCCAAUUAGCCUGUUCUCCAUGGCAGAGGGUGCUUUCAUCCUCCUAGUUGGAUGUUCAACUGCCACGGUCAUUUCACCCUAACAGAAAAGGAGAUUUCUUUCCUCCUUUGGAAGCUCUCCUGCCUCUGGUGCUUAGCUCAGCUCCUCGCUGCAGGUUGCUCUGGCCAGCAGGCCUCUCCAAACGUGGAAUUUUACAUAUAAAUUACCAAGGAAGAACAAAGUCUCCAGGCCUCUGGUGGUGUAAGAAUGCAGCUGGGCACAGCAGUGACACUUCCAUGGCAUGCUGAUCUCCUGGUCCUUCUCACCUCGGCAUUGCUGCCCAGCACCUUCACCUUUCUGGCCUUAGGCGCUCCUUGGGUGCAAGUUUUCUGAGUCAUCAAUAAAAACACUUGGUCUGAUCAAAGGAAAAACCUUUUAUGAUUAGUUUUUGCCUCCCUGGUGUGAGGGAACAGCUGAUCAAGGAGCUGCAGGGGCUUGAUUUUUGGGUAACCUCCCCCAGUAUCUCCCACAGGUUUGGCAAAUCUCCAAAUGCCUUACUUCACCGAAUCAAGCCUCUUCAUCUUAAGACAUAUGUAGCCUCUACUAUGUAACGCUGCCUCCUGAGCACGAUCCACGGGGCCUGUUUUUUUAACACCCAAGAUUCAUUAAUAUUUCCUGCAGAGUGUUCAAUAAGUAGUGAAUAAAGCAGGAAGUGUCCCAGAUGUUGGGAAGAAAAAAUGGAAUUAUUCAUUGCUUACUAACGUCAAAUGCUAAUGUGAGAAAAGCAUCCUUGAAGAAAUCCUUGACUAAAAUUCAUCAGUGAUGUGAAAUCACUGUUUUAAUUAUGCAUUUUUGAAUGUAUUUAUUAGUCUCGGUUCUGAUCUGACUUACAGAUGUUUAACAGUGAUAAGGGUCUACUGCAGCCUUUGGAAUUACUCAUGAUUUAUAAUGACAAAACUUGGAUCAGAAUUAGGUCCUUGUCACUACUCUAUAAUAUCCUUUCAUCAAACUUCUUCACAUUCAACAGAUGAAAGAGACAGCGGUUUCCGCAAUUUCAAACCCUACCGCUGAGUCCCUUAGCUUGGUUUUUUUUUAUAUUUCUCCUCCAGAAAUGAUGAUUCUCACUCAAAAUUUUGUCUGCUUGAGUUAUAUUUCAUUGAAUCAUAGAAUGGUUUGGGUUAGAAGUGACCUCAAAGCCCAUCCAGUCCCACCCCCUGCCAUGGGCAGGGACACCUCCCACUGGAUCAGGGGCUCCAAGCCCCAUCCAACCUGGCCUGGAACCCCUCCAGGGAUGGGGCAGCCACCACUGCUCUGGGCACCCUGGGCCAGGGCCUCCCCACCCUCAUCGUGAAUAAUUUCCUCCUAAUGCCUCCUCUAAAUCUUCCCCCUUCCAAUUUAAAGCCAU
Cuculus canorus (common cuckoo) is the source of this 5072-nucleotide long non-coding RNA. RefSeq lists it as uncharacterized. The transcript has 10 exons. The record is from RefSeq and is a predicted model, not a curated record. NCBI's taxonomy places the organism in Eukaryota, Metazoa, Chordata, Aves, Cuculiformes, Cuculidae.